Molecule: ribosomal RNA, 491 nt
Filed under: uncultured bacterium
Lineage: Bacteria
Description: partial 16S ribosomal RNA
Rfam family: Bacterial small subunit ribosomal RNA
Source: RNAcentral
AGUGAACGCUGGCGGUAGGCCUAACACAUGCAAGUCGAACGGCAGCACAGUAAGAGCUUGCUCUUACGGGUGGCGAGUGGCGGACGGGUGAGGAAUACAUCGGAAUCUACUUUUUCGUGGGGGAUAACGUAGGGAAACUUACGCUAAUACCGCAUACGACCUACGGGUGAAAGCAGGGGAUCUUCGGACCUUGCGCGAUUGAAUGAGCCGAUGUCGGAUUAGCUAGUUGGCGGGGUAAAGGCCCACCAAGGCGACGAUCCGUAGCUGGUCUGAGAGGAUGAUCAGCCACACUGGAACUGAGCCACGGUCCCGACUCCUACGGGAGGCAGCAGUGGGGAAUAUUGGACACUGGGCGCAAGCCUGAUCCAGCCAUACCGCGUGGGUGAAGAAGGCCUUCGGGUUGUAAAGCCCUUUUGUUGGGAAAGAAAAGCAGCAGGUUAAUACCCCGCUGUUCUGACGGUACCCAAAGAAUAAGCACCGGCUAACUUCGU